CUAGCUAAAGAGGACCACCUCCUCCUUAAUGG
This 32-nucleotide transfer RNA is filed under the name Pteronetta hartlaubii (Hartlaub's duck). Its description in RNAcentral is "partial tRNA-Lys". Lineage: Eukaryota; Metazoa; Chordata; Aves; Anseriformes; Anatidae. The record is from RNAcentral.